Molecule: ribosomal RNA, 253 nt
Filed under: uncultured bacterium
Lineage: Bacteria
Description: partial 16S ribosomal RNA
Rfam family: Bacterial small subunit ribosomal RNA
Source: RNAcentral
UACGUAGGUGGCAAGCGUUAUCCGGAUUUAUUGGGUGUAAAGGGCGUGUAGGCGGGAAUGCAAGUCAGAUGUGAAAACUCAGGGCUCAACCCUGAGCCUGCAUUUGAAACUGUAUUUCUUGAGUGCUGGAGAGGCAGUCGGAAUUCCGUGUGUAGCGGUGAAAUGCGUAGAUAUACGGAGGAACACCAGUGGCGAAGGCGGAUUGCUGGACAGUAACUGACGCUGAGGCGCGAAAGCGUGGGGAGCAAACAGG